GAAACUAACAAGGAUUCCCCUAGUAACGGCGAGUUGAAGCGGGAUGAGCUCAAAUUGAAAUCUGGCUGGUUUACUAGUCCGAGUUGUAAUUUAAAGAAGCGUUUUCGGUGGCAGCCUGGGUAUAAAUCCUUUGGAAUAAGGGUAUCAUAGAGGGUGAGAAUCCCGUCUUUGACCUAGUGCAUGCUACUAUGUGAUACGUUUUCAAAGAGUCGAGUUGUUUGGGAAUGCAGCUCAAAAUGGGUGGUAAAUUUUCAUCUAAAGCUAAAUAUUGGCGAGAGACCGAUAGCGAACAAGUACCGUGAGGGAAAGAUGAAAAGAACUUUGAAAAGAGAGUUAAACAGUGCGUGAAAUUGUUGAAAGGGAAACGUUUGACACCAGUCAUGUGGGUGGAAAAUCAGUCUUUUGCAUUGGGGAGUUGUAAAGGUUCGGACCGCAAGGCCGGCUUUUGCUUCAUCUUUGGUGUAAGGGAUGCACUUUUUCAUCUACAGGUCAACAUCAGUUUCUUUUGCUGGACAAAACUCCGAGAGAAGGUAGCAGCUUAGGCUGUGUUAUAGCUCUGGAGCGAUACAGUGAAGGGGACUGAGGUUUUCGCAGCGUGUGCUCUCGGGCAAGGCUGGAUGGGUGCUAUGGGAUCGUUCGGGGUACAAUGCCUGGCAUUUUGCUUCGUGUCUUUUCUAUACUCGCUCAACUCAGCUCUUCCACGCUUAGGAUGUUGACUUAAUGGUUUUAAACGACCCGUCUUGAAACACGGACCAAGGAGUCUAACAUAUAUGCAAGUGUUUGGGUGGCAAACCCAUGCGCGUAAUGAAAGUGAACGUAGGUGCGAUCCGCAAGGUGCAGCAUCGACCGAUCUUGAUAUUUUUGGAUAGAUUUGAGUAAGAGCAUAUAUGCUGGGACCCGAAAGAUGGUGAACUAUGCCUGAAUAGGGUGAAGCCAGAGGAAACUCUGGUGGAGGCUCGUAGCGAUUCUGACGUGCAAAUCGAUCGUCAAAUUUGGGUAUAGGGGCGAAAGACUAAUCGAACCAUCUUGGAGGCUGCGC
RNAcentral lists this ribosomal RNA (1039 nucleotides) under Podila humilis. Its description in RNAcentral is "partial large subunit ribosomal RNA". It matches the Rfam family "Eukaryotic large subunit ribosomal RNA", at positions 61 to 955 of the family's 3401-position model. The record is from RNAcentral. Lineage: Eukaryota; Fungi; Mortierellomycota; Mortierellomycetes; Mortierellales; Mortierellaceae.